Molecule: ribosomal RNA, 446 nt
Filed under: uncultured bacterium
Lineage: Bacteria
Description: partial 16S ribosomal RNA
Rfam family: Bacterial small subunit ribosomal RNA
Source: RNAcentral
CCUACGGGAGACUGCAGUCGAGAAUCAUUCACAAUGGGGGAAACCCUGAUGGUGCGACGCCGCGUGGGGGAAUGAAGGUCUUCGGAUUGUAAACCCCUGUCAUGUGGGAGCAAAUUAAAAAGAUAGUACCACAAGAGGAAGAGACGGCUAACUCUGUGCCAGCAGCCGCGGUAAUACAGAGGUCUCAAGCGUUGUUCGGAAUCACUGGGCGUAAAGCGUGCGUAGGCUGUUUCGUAAGUCGUGUGUGAAAGGCGCGGGCUCAACCCGCGGACGGCACAUGAUACUGCGAGACUAGAGUAAGGGAGGGGGAACCGGAAUGCUCGGUGUAGCAGUGAAAUGCGUAGAUAUCGAGAGGAACACUCGUGGCGAAGGCGGGUUCCUGGACAUUAACUGACGCUGAGGCACGAAGGCCAGGGGAGCGAAAGGGAUUAGAUACCCGUGUAGUC